This 462-nucleotide ribosomal RNA is filed under the name uncultured bacterium. RNAcentral describes it as "partial 16S ribosomal RNA". It matches the Rfam family "Bacterial small subunit ribosomal RNA", at positions 28 to 506 of the family's 1533-position model. The record is from RNAcentral.
GACGAACGCUGGCGGCGUGCUUAACACAUGCAAGUCGAACGGAAAGGCCUUUUCGGCGGUACUCGAGUGGCGAACGGGUGAGUAACACGUGGGUGAUCUGCCCUGCACUCUGGGAUAAGCCUGGGAAACUGGGUCUAAUACCGGAUAGGACCGCACUUUAGUGUGUGUGGUGGAAAGUUUUUUCGGUGUAGGAUGAGCCCGCGGCCUAUCAGCUUGUUGGUGGGGUAAUGGCCUACCAAGGCGGCGACGGGUAGCCGGACUGAGAGGUUGGUCGGCCACAUUGGGAUUGAGAUACGGCCCAGACUCCUCCGGGAGGCAGCAGUGGGGAAUAUUGCACAAUGGGCGCAAUCCUGAUGCAGCGACGCCGCGUGGGGGAUGACGGCCUUCGGGUUGUAAACUCCUUUCGCCAGGGACGAAGCGUUUUGUGACGGUACCUGGAGAAGAAGCACCGGCUAACUACGU